This is a long non-coding RNA of Gallus gallus (chicken), 468 nucleotides long. The record is from Ensembl. Lineage: Eukaryota; Metazoa; Chordata; Aves; Galliformes; Phasianidae.
CUCAGGCUUACAAUCUUGUUUUUCCUAUAUAGCAGGUUAAAUGAGAUUCUUUUCAUCUAUGGCUCAUCAAAAGAUAUGAUGACAGAUCCCUCACCAUGAUGGAGUAGAGGGUUUCUGCCAUCAGAUCCCUCACCACGACAGACUUGAGGUUUCUGCCAUCAGAUCCCUCAUUACAGACUGUAUGCUGACGGACUUUCCUGGGCCUGCUACCGGAGACCUGCUGCUUCCUCCCGGGCUUACUCUGUGGCUUCUUCCUGGACCCACGUGGUACCUGCACCCUCUCGUUGCCCAAGACCGGCCUCACUGCUCCUGCCCUUUGGCCUCGGACCAUCGGAACGUCGUGCAACGGGACUACUGCCAGAUCCUGGUGGUGACUAUCCCUCCUUUACACAAUUCUUGCCUCUUUCUAUCUUUUCUAUCUCUCGCCUUCCCUUCCCCAUCACCCCAAUCCGUAAUAGUGUCUGUCCU